AGUCGAGCGGUAGAGAGGUGCUUGCACCUCUUGAGAGCGGCGGACGGGUGAGUAAAGCCUAGGAAUCUGCCUGGUAGUGGGGGAUAACGCUCGGAAACGGACGCUAAUACCGCAUACGUCCUACGGGAGAAAGCAGGGGACCUUCGGGCCUUGCGCUAUCAGAUGAGCCUAGGUCGGAUUAGCUAGUUGGUGAGGUAAUGGCUCACCAAGGCGACGAUCCGUAACUGGUCUGAGAGGAUGAUCAGUCACACUGGAACUGAGACACGGUCCAGACUCCUACGGGAGGCAGCAGUGGGGAAUAUUGGACAAUGGGCGAAAGCCUGAUCCAGCCAUGCCGCGUGUGUGAAGAAGGUCUUCGGAUUGUAAAGCACUUUAAGUUGGGAGGAAGGGCAUUAACCUAAUACGUUAGUGUUUUGACGUUACCGAGGGAAUAAGCACCGGCUAACUCUGUGCCAGCAGCCGCGGUAAUACAGAGGGUGCAAGCGUUAAUCGGAAUUACUGGGCGUAAAGCGCGCGUAGGUGGUUCGUUAAGUUGGAUGUGAAAUCCCCGGGCUCAACCUGGGAACUGCAUUCAAAACUGUCGAGCUAG
RNAcentral lists this ribosomal RNA (589 nucleotides) under uncultured bacterium. Its description in RNAcentral is "bacterial SSU rRNA". It matches the Rfam family "Bacterial small subunit ribosomal RNA", at positions 60 to 644 of the family's 1533-position model. The record is from RNAcentral.